GACGAACGCUGGCGGCUUGCUUAACACAUGCAAGUCUAACGGAAAGGCCCUUCUUGCAGGGUACUCGAGUGUCGAACGGGUGAGUAACACGUGGGUUAUCUGCCCUUCACUUCGGGCUACGCCUGGGGAACUGGGUCUAAUACCUGAUAGGCGCCAUUUUUAUUGUGAUGGUUGGAAAGUUUUUUCGUUGUAGGAUUAGAUCUCGGCCUAUCCGCUUGUUGGUGGGGUAAUGGCCUACCAAGGCGGCGACGGGUAGCCGGCCUGAGAGGGUGGACGGCUAGACUGGAGCUGAGAGACGAACGAGAUUCCAAGGGGAGGCAGCAGGGGGGAAUAUUGCACAAUGGGAGAAGGACUGAGGAAGAGACGUCGAGUGGGGGAUAACGGCCUUCGGGUUGUAAACUCCUUGCGCUAGGGACGAAGCUUUUGGUGAAGGUAACGAGAUAAGAAGAACCGGCUAACUACGUG
Molecule: ribosomal RNA, 465 nt
Filed under: uncultured bacterium
Lineage: Bacteria
Description: partial 16S ribosomal RNA
Rfam family: Bacterial small subunit ribosomal RNA
Source: RNAcentral